GAGUUUGAUCGUGGCUCAGGAUGAACGCUGGCGGCGUGCCUGACACAUGCAAGUCGAACGAAGCAAUCGGGAUGAAGUUUCGGAUGGAUUCCUGGUUGACUGAGUGGCGGACGGGUGAGUAACGCGUGGGAUAACCUGCCUCACACUGGGGAGUAACAGUUAGAAAUGGCUGCUAAUACCGCAUAAGCGCACAGUACCGCAUGGUACGGUGUGAAAAACCCAGGUGGUGUGAGAUGGAUCCGCGUCUGAUUAGCCAGUUGGCGGGGUAACGGCCCACCAAAGCGACGAUCAGUAGCCGACCUGAGAGGGUGACCGGCCACAUUGGGACUGAGACACGGCCCAAAUCCGUACGGGAGGCAGCAGUGGGGGAAUAUUGCACAAUGGGCGAAA
Molecule: ribosomal RNA, 390 nt
Filed under: uncultured microorganism
Description: bacterial SSU rRNA
Rfam family: Bacterial small subunit ribosomal RNA
Source: RNAcentral